This is a long non-coding RNA of Nothobranchius furzeri (turquoise killifish), 2011 nucleotides long. RefSeq lists it as uncharacterized. NCBI's taxonomy places the organism in Eukaryota, Metazoa, Chordata, Actinopteri, Cyprinodontiformes, Nothobranchiidae. The record is from RefSeq and is a predicted model, not a curated record.
UGUUCCGGCGAGAUCCGGCUCAAAUUAAGCCCUGGUCGAUAUUGAUCUCAUACCGAUACAAAAAUCCAACACUUUAUUGCAUAAUGAACUACAUAUGAAAAAGACUGCACUGCAAAAACUGAUUUCUAAGAAAGUAAAAACAAUCCUUUUUAAACAUUUUUCUUUUUAGUCCAAACAGAUUAAAAAAAAUCCCCAGAAAAAUAACAUUACUUAAAAUUAGCUAAAAAUUCUUAACUAUGAUCCAGAUUUUCUAGUUUUGAGUAAAACAAAAUCUGCCAGAGAGGUAAGCGGUAAGAGGUAAAAAGUUGCUUGGCUAGAAUUUGUAAAACUAGCAAAUAAAUUGAUUGUUUUUUUACUUAACUUGAGCAAAACCUUGCGAGACUUCAUAACUGCUGCCUUUUAACUAUGAACUGCUUUAAAUUCCCUCCAAAUUGACGGUCAGUCGAAACAACUGAAAAUUUGCGAUACGUACUGGAACAGAGCACGUUGCUCUUUUGCCGCUGACCGCUCCUGCAUGUCGCCUCCUGUGGGUCGAACCCUUAAUAAACACUAGAAAUCCAAGAGGCCUUUGCAGCGCUUUGCUGCCCGGGCCUAAUUAAAAGACAACUUAGAUGUGUUUUUCCUUUUUCUUUCUUAUUCUAAUGCUUUGCUGGAGUAUUAGAUCGAGAGCAAAAUAAUGUGAUCAAAGCAUCCCUAGUUGUUGCAUUUUGCAUUUUGUCCUGUUCUCUCUGAGCCUCAGUGGAUAUACCAGGGACUGUCUUCUACAUUUGCCAAUUGUAAAACUUAAAAAGGAGUCUGUUAAGCUGUGUUAAACACUGUUUACUGUGUUUUUAUUUAUUUAUUUUGUAAAAAGUUUAAUUGUGCAUUUUGUUCAUCUCAAUUCAUCAGGUUACAACAACUCCUGCUGAUGCAGAGGAACAGUUCGUCCUCCCAAGCUCCCCAAGGCUCAUCGCACUUGGAGACACUAUGUGGUCUGCGAACAAGUGGAUGCUAUCCAUAGAGGGCAGAGUUGUAAUCCCACUUUUACCUCCCAUACUGGAUUUUACAACUGCCUUGGCUGUCCUGUUUGCCAGUUUCUAUGUAUUCAACAUAGAGUAUCAGGUGGAAGCAGUCACAACACUGGAAUUCGUUCAGAGGUUCCUUGCCAGGAUCAAUCCAAAUUCCAUCAAGUGCACAGCCAAGGUCCAGACGAGCAGAAAAACUGGCAGAACUGUGAAGAGAAAGACAACGGAUAUAAAUCCACGCGUUGUUUCAUUCAUGAACGCCUUCUCUGCAUUUGACUGGCAAAACAGCUAGCUUAAGGAUGUUGCUGUGGAGCAGCCCUACAGAACUGAUGGACUGGGUGAGGGACCCUAAGAGGCAAGGAGUCUGUACCAAGAGUACAAAUUUUUUUUUACAUCGCGGUAUGGAAAAAUAGUGUUUUUUGUUGACAUGUCAAUGCCACUGUUUUGACUGUUUUAAGGUUAUUGAGGUUCGUAAUAUUGCAAUAGUUCACAACAUGUUCUAGAAACACAAUGGUGAUCAUGUAUCAUUAUUUAUCUGGAUACUUCUAUCCAUUGUUUUAAGUAGUUUUUGUGUUCUUUGAAUACAUAAAUGUUCACAGCAUGUAUACAAAGAUGAUGACAUGUUAUUGCCUGUUUUUAUAGAUAUGGCUAUGGCUAGUUGUAUUGUAAUGUGUGUACAACAUGUUCUAAGAACUUAAUGAUGAUUAUACUUUUUUGCCAAUGUUAUCUGUGGAUAUUUAUAUCCAUUGUUAUAGAAAUAAAUGGGCAAAUGUAACUUUUGUUGUCCUAAUUUAUUUAGUAAGAUACAGCAUAACAUAAAUCAAAAGAACACCUGCAAUAUUUUAACUUUAAAAGACAGUAAUGCAAUUUUUACUAUACAGUUAAAGUACUAUUUUUUAGCCAAAAAUACUAAACUUGGAAUUUACUGUUAUUUCAUUUAUAGUUAAAACACCAAUGGUGUAAUCACAAGCGCAGCAAUUGAAAAAUUAAAUUUAUUUUACAGUGAA